RNAcentral lists this unclassified non-coding RNA (240 nucleotides) under soil metagenome. Its description in RNAcentral is "partial contains 5.8S ribosomal RNA, internal transcribed spacer 2, and large subunit ribosomal RNA". The record is from RNAcentral.
AACUGAUACUACCUGCGGGAACCUGCGGAAGGAUCAUUACUGAAGUGAUUUGGGGAUGUUGCUGGCCCUCUCUCAAGGGGGGGCACUGUGCACUCCUCGAAACAAUCCACAAUUUCCAUCACACCCCUUGUGCACACCUUGUAGGCACCCAAACCCACCUCCGGGUGGUGGGGUCCUAUGUAUUCCUUCAUCUCACACUCUGUUGAAUGGUGCCAUGGGACGCAUCUAAAGGAUUAUUUG